UGGCUCAGAUUGAACGCUAGCGGGAUGCCUUACACAUGCAAGUCGAACGGCAGCACGGACUUCGGUCUGGUGGCGAGUGGCGAACGGGUGAGUAAUGUAUCGGAACGUGCCUAGUAGCGGGGGAUAACUACGCGAAAGCGUAGCUAAUACCGCAUACGCCCUACGGGGGAAAGCAGGGGAUCGCAAGACCUUGCACUAUUAGAGCGGCCGAUAUCGGAUUAGCUAGUUGGUGGGGUAACGGCUCACCAAGGCGACGAUCCGUAGCUGGUUUGAGAGGACGACCAGCCACACUGGGACUGAGACACGGCCCAGACUCCUACGGGAGGCAGCAGUGGGGAAUUUUGGACAAUGGGGGAAACCCUGAUCCAGCCAUCCCGCGUGUGCGAUGAAGGCCUUCGGGUUGUAAAGCACUUUUGGCAGGAAAGAAACGUCAUGGGUUAAUACCCCGUGAAACUGACGGUACCUGCAGAAUAAGCACCGGCUAACUACGUGCCAGCAGCCGCGGUAAUACGUAGGGUGCAAGCGUUAAUCGGAAUUACUGGGCGUAAAGCGUGCGCAGGCGGUUCGGAAAGAAAGAUGUGAAAUCCCAGAGCUUAACUUUGGAACUGCAUUUUUAACUACCGAGCUAGAGUGUGUCAGAGGGAGGUGGAAUUCCGCGUGUAGCAGUGAAAUGCGUAGAUAUGCGGAGGAACACCGAUGGCGAAGGCAGC
RNAcentral lists this ribosomal RNA (710 nucleotides) under Achromobacter sp. 110602_136_C_C6. RNAcentral describes it as "bacterial SSU rRNA". It matches the Rfam family "Bacterial small subunit ribosomal RNA", at positions 20 to 725 of the family's 1533-position model. Lineage: Bacteria; Pseudomonadati; Pseudomonadota; Betaproteobacteria; Burkholderiales; Alcaligenaceae. The record is from RNAcentral.